AGUGAACGCUGGCGGUAGGCCUAACACAUGCAAGUCGAACGGCAGCACAGUAAGAGCUUGCCCUUACGGGUGGCGAGUGGCGGACGGGUGAGGAAUACCUCGGAAUCUACUUUUUCGAGGGGGCCAACGUAGGGAAACUUACGGUAAUACCGCAUACGAUCUACGGGUGAAAGCAGGGGAUCUUCGGACCUUGCGCGUAUGAAUUAGCCGAUGUCGCAUUAGCUAGUUGGGAGGGUAAAGGCCAACCAAGGCGACGAUCCGUCGCUGGUCUGCGAGGUUGAACAGCCCCACUGGAACUCAGACACGGUCCCUACUCCUACGGGAGCCAGCAGUGGGGAUUAUUGGACAACGGGCGCAAGCCUGCUCCACCCAUACCGCGUGGGUGAGGAGGGCCUUCGGGUUGUAAAGCCCUUUUGUUGGGAAAGAAAAGCAGCAGAUUAAUACCCCGCUGUUCUGACGGUACCCAAAGAAUAAGCCUCGGCUAACUUCGUG
Molecule: ribosomal RNA, 492 nt
Filed under: uncultured bacterium
Lineage: Bacteria
Description: partial 16S ribosomal RNA
Rfam family: Bacterial small subunit ribosomal RNA
Source: RNAcentral